This 472-nucleotide long non-coding RNA is filed under the name Oryza sativa Indica Group (long-grained rice). RNAcentral describes it as "lncRNA OsMH63_07G000950". Lineage: Eukaryota; Viridiplantae; Streptophyta; Magnoliopsida; Poales; Poaceae. The record is from RNAcentral.
ACUGAUAUCUAUGCGGGGUUCCCAAACGACUCUAAUUUGUAUUUCUGUAGUAGUGAUAAUUUGUUAUAGGUUGUCCAUCGUCAUAUGUUUGUGUGUUCAAUCAACUACUAGUCUUGUUGAUGUCCGUCUUGGUGGACGUAGAGGCCUAAUACCGUCCACUCCGAGUCGGAUUAGAACACAUCGCAGAUUGAUCCUAUAUAUUUUUGGUCAGAAACCCGUUGCGACUCUGAUCACCAAACGAGACGAAACCGACGUCGUCGAUCGCUCGCUCGCUCGCCGCCAUGGCCACUGUUCUCCGAUCCCUGACAAGAGUAGUCGCUCGUCGGCAACCACCGCCGGCAUCGUCAGCCGCCGCCUCAUUUGCAACGCGGCGUCAGAUCAUCAUCAGAAGCUCGCAAAGAACAGCGGCGGCACGAAGACGGAGGUGGUAUCGGCGACUGUGAAUUCCGAAGUGCAAAUCGUCAGCUGGUGA